Molecule: non-coding RNA, 103 nt
Organism: Macroventuria anomochaeta
Lineage: Eukaryota; Fungi; Ascomycota; Dothideomycetes; Pleosporales; Didymellaceae
Source: the annotation of a RefSeq genome assembly
GGCCUAAUGGCCCAAUGGCAAGGCGCUUGACUACGAUUAACCAGAUUUCGAAUCUGGUAAAUCGGCUAUCAAGAGAUUCCAGGUUCGACCCCUGGUUAGGUCA